AGAGUUUGAUCCUGGCUCAGAACGAACGCUGGCGGCGUGCUUAACACAUGCAAGUCGAGUGCGCGUACCGUAGCAAUACGGUAUGGCGCACGGCGCACGGGUGCGUAACACGUGGGCAAUCUGCCCUCCGAUGGGGAAUAACUCCGGGAAACCGAAGCUAAUUCCGCAUAACAUUCCCUGGACUCCGGUUCGGGGAUUCA
RNAcentral lists this ribosomal RNA (200 nucleotides) under uncultured bacterium. RNAcentral's name for it is "partial 16S ribosomal RNA". It matches the Rfam family "Bacterial small subunit ribosomal RNA", at positions 8 to 204 of the family's 1533-position model. The record is from RNAcentral.